UACGAAGGGGGCUAGCGUUGCUCGGAAUCAUUGGGCGUAAAGCGCGUGUAGGCGGCCCGGUAAGUCCGCUGUGAAAGUCAAAGGCUCAACCUUUGAAAGCCGGUGGAUACUGUGAGGCUAGAGUACGGAAGAGGCGAGUGGAAUUCCUGGUGUAGCGGUGGAAUGCGCAGAUAUCAGGAGGAACACCAAUAGCGAAGGCAGCUCGCUGGGACGUUACUGACACUGAGGCGCGAAAGCGUGGGGAGCGAACAGG
RNAcentral lists this ribosomal RNA (253 nucleotides) under uncultured bacterium. RNAcentral describes it as "partial 16S ribosomal RNA". It matches the Rfam family "Bacterial small subunit ribosomal RNA", at positions 524 to 776 of the family's 1533-position model. The record is from RNAcentral.